CUGGGAUCCUCAGAGAUGGAGAUCUGGAUGUGAAGAGAAAGAGAAAAACAAAAGUCAACAGACAGUACUGUGACCAAGUCAGUGAUGGUGAGAUCAGCAGCAUCUCUAGGACCCUUCUGAUUGACAUGAAGUCACCAUCAAGUAGGCAGAACUCACAGGACUUAUGGAGCAAGGAUGACUGACACAAACACAAAAAUCAUUCUGCCUGUUGAAUGAAUCAUAAAAUACUGUCUUUGAUCCAGGAGGCUUGUGUCAUCUGCCAGCAUUUAUGAAACUGUGCUCCAAGUAGGCUCCUGUAUCAGCAGUGCUUGCCCCUGAUAGAUGAUGAUCAUGGGGGGACCAGGAGCCUCUAGACUUAGAGAACUUUCCCCACCCUCCCUGUGGAGUGUUUCCCUCCCCAGCACCCCCUGCUGGUCAGUUUGACAAACAGAUGAACAGAAGUUCUCAAAUACACAGUAAGCAGAUAACCCCAACAUCACCAGAAAUAUCAACUUGUGAUGGCAUUUUGUCAAGUUGUCUUUGUUAUCGGCAUCAUCUGUUGCUUUCUGAGGGAAGUAUUUUGAGUUCUCCUACUGAGACUGUGGAUUUGCCUAUUUCUUUUUGUAUGUCAGCUUUUGCCAUAUGUAUUUUGUAGUUGUGUUGUGAGGAAGAUUCAUGACUUAUCUUGUGGGAGAAUUCUGUAUUUAGCAGAUUUUCGUCUUAAGUUCUGUUUUGCUUAGUAUUGAUGUUAUUACUUUGCUUUUUCAGUUUCAAAAUCAUUUAGUAUAUCUUUUUCCUUUCUUUUAGCCUUUGUGUUUUUAUUUCAGAUGUGCUUUCUUAUGUACUGACUGUGAUCCCCAAAUUCAUAUGUUGAAGUCCCAACUCCAAAUGUAUUUGGAGGUGGGCCUUUCAGAC
This 894-nucleotide long non-coding RNA is filed under the name Homo sapiens (human). RNAcentral's name for it is "GLYATL1 antisense RNA 1". Lineage: Eukaryota; Metazoa; Chordata; Mammalia; Primates; Hominidae. The record is from RNAcentral.